This 303-nucleotide long non-coding RNA is filed under the name Androctonus crassicauda. The record is from RNAcentral. Lineage: Eukaryota; Metazoa; Arthropoda; Arachnida; Scorpiones; Buthidae.
GGAAUGACUAUGGAAUAUAAAUGGGAGAAGUGUACAUAUGUAAUAUAUGGUUUUAGAGUUGUAUAUGUGCCAAAGUUCAUUUAUCACCAGACAUUGCCUGAAAGGGAUCAGGAGAGAGAGGAUGUUAGUGGGCAUUUCUCAGCGCUAUGUGUGACAGGCACCUGGUGCUGUAGCUGCCGCUAGACAAAACGAUGAAGCUGGAGGAUGUUCAACAGCAGAGCAAGUCUCUAUCUCAGUAAGACAAACAGAAACAAUACCCAAAACAACAUAAUCUGUGGUUGGAGAAAGUGUUUUAAAAAGUGU